CUUCCCCAUCUGCUCGUCGCGUCCCGUGCUUGCCAUCCCCCUAGUGUCCUGCAUCGGCCGAACCCUGUGAGCCUCCCCAGCGGCGCUGCGCUCGUCUUCCCCAUCUGCUCGUCGCGUCCCGUGCUUGCCAUCCCCCUAGUGUCCUGCGUCGGCCGAACCCUGUGAGCCUCCCCACUUCCCCAGCGGCGCUCUGCUCGUGGCCGCCCUCCUCGCUCGCCCCUGUGACUGCUGCUACCUCUGCCUCUGUUGUUGCUGCUUUUCCCCACCUGCUGCUGCUACUGCUACCCGCGCGCCGCUGCGCUCACCUGCUCGCCCGACAGCACCCGUGCAUGCGCUCGUGCCACCCGCAUCCACCCCUUGCCACGCACUCGCGUGCCCAAGCCCCGCCAUGCGUCUGCCUCCAGCUCCCACCGCGACCACCGCCUCUCCCCAUCACGACCACCACUGCUCCCCAUCACGCCGCUCUGGCACGCGCGGGGCCUCACCCUCCCCGUCGACGGCCGCUACGGCUGAGAGCCGAGCCGAUCCAGCCGUGUGGUGUUUGUGCGUCGCCGGUGUGCAAUGUGUGUGUUGAUGGCUGCAGCCACUGCCUUGUGGGGCCGACCUAGCUUAAUUAUGGGGCUAAUCCCCACUAACAGCCCUACAUAGAAUGACGAGAGGGGCCUAGCC
Molecule: long non-coding RNA, 669 nt
Filed under: Hordeum vulgare
Lineage: Eukaryota; Viridiplantae; Streptophyta; Magnoliopsida; Poales; Poaceae
Description: long non-coding RNA (HVUL_LNC009820)
Source: RNAcentral